This 446-nucleotide ribosomal RNA is filed under the name uncultured bacterium. RNAcentral describes it as "bacterial SSU rRNA". It matches the Rfam family "Bacterial small subunit ribosomal RNA", at positions 330 to 793 of the family's 1533-position model. The record is from RNAcentral.
CCCAGACUCCUACGGGAGGCAGCAGUGGGGAAUAUUGCACAAUGGGGGAAACCCUGAUGCAGCAACGCCGCGUGGGUGAAGAAGUAUUUCGGUAUGUAAAGCCCUCUCAGCAGGGAAGAGAAUGACGGUACCUGACUAAGAAGCCCCGGCUAACUACGUGCCAGCAGCCGCGGUAAUACGUAGGGGGCAAGCGUUAUCCGGAUUUACUGGGUGUAAAGGGAGCGUAGACGGUUGUGCAAGUCUGAAGUGAAAGCCCGCGGCUCAACUGCGGAACGGCUUUGGAAACUGUGUAACUGGAGUGCUGGAGAGGUAAGCGGAAUUCCUGGUGUAGCGGUGAAAUGCGUAGAGAUCAGGAGGAACACCGGCGGCGAAGGCGGCUUACUGGACAGUAACUGACGUUGAGGCUCGAAAGCGUGGGGAGCAAACAGGAUUAGAUACCCCCGUAA